AAUAGAUACCCCGGUAGUCCACGCCGUAAACGGUGGGCGCUAGGUGUGGGGGACUUUCCACGUCCUCUGUGCCGCAGCUAACGCAUUAAGCGCCCCGCCUGGGGAGUACGGCCGCAAGGCUAAAACUCAAAGGAAUUGACGGGGGCCCGCACAAGCGGCGGAGCAUGUGGCUUAAUUCGACGCAACGCGAAGAACCUUACCAAGGCUUGACAUGCAGGGAAAUCUCGUAGAGAUACGGGGUCCGCAAGGGCUCUGCACAGGUGGUGCAUGGUUGUCGUCAGCUCGUGUCGUGAGAUGUUGGGUUAAGUCCCGCAACGAGCGCAACCCUUGUCCUAUGUUGCCAGCGAGUAAUGUCGGGGACUCAUAGGAGACUGCCGGGGUCAACUCGGAGGAAGGUGGGGAUGACGUCAAAUCAUCAUGCCCCUUAUGUCUUGGGCUGCACACAUGCUACAAUGGUCGGUACAAAGGGCUGCGAGGCCGCAAGGUGGAGCGAAUCCCAAAAGCCGGCCUCAGUUCGGAUUGGGGU
RNAcentral lists this ribosomal RNA (526 nucleotides) under uncultured bacterium. RNAcentral describes it as "bacterial SSU rRNA". It matches the Rfam family "Bacterial small subunit ribosomal RNA", at positions 777 to 1304 of the family's 1533-position model. The record is from RNAcentral.